This 497-nucleotide ribosomal RNA is filed under the name uncultured bacterium. RNAcentral's name for it is "partial 16S ribosomal RNA". It matches the Rfam family "Bacterial small subunit ribosomal RNA", at positions 28 to 507 of the family's 1533-position model. The record is from RNAcentral.
GACGAACGCUGGCGGCGUGCCUAAUACAUGCAAGUUGAGCGCUGAAGGUUGGUACUUGUACCAACUGGAUGAGCAGCGAACGGGUGAGUAACGCGUGGGGAAUCUGCCUUUGAGCGGGGGACAACAUUUGGAAACGAAUGCUAAUACCGCAUAAAAACUUUAAACACAAGUUUUAAGUUUGAAAGAUGCAAUUGCAUCACUCAAAGAUGAUCCCGCGUUGUAUUAGCUAGUUGGUGAGGUAAAGGCUCACCAAGGCGAUGAUACAUAGCCGACCUGAGAGGGUGAUAGGCCACAUUGGGACUGAGACACGGCCCAAACUCCUACGGGAGGCAGCAGUAGGGAAUCUUCGGCAAUGGACGAAAGUCUGACCGAGCAACGCCGAGUGAGUGAAGAAGGUUUUCGGAUCGUAAAAAUCGGUUGGUAGAGAAGAACGUUGGUGAGAGUGGAAAGCUCAUCAAGUGACGGUAACUACACAGAAAGGGACGGCUAACUACGUG